This 426-nucleotide ribosomal RNA is filed under the name uncultured bacterium. RNAcentral's name for it is "bacterial SSU rRNA". It matches the Rfam family "Bacterial small subunit ribosomal RNA", at positions 355 to 773 of the family's 1533-position model. The record is from RNAcentral.
UGGGGAAUAUUGGACAAUGGGCGAAAGCCUGAUCCAGCCAUGCCGCGUGUGUGAAGAAGGUCUUCGGAUUGUAAAGCACUUUAAGUUGGGAGGAAGGGCAGUAAGUUAAUACCUUGCUGUUUUGACGUUACCAACAGACUAAGCACCGGCUAACUUCGUGCCAGCAGCCGCGGUAAUACGAAGGGUGCAAGCGUUAAUCGGGAUUACUGGGCGUAAAGCGCGCGUAGGUGGUUUGGUAAGAUGGAUGUGAAAUCCCCGGGCUCAACCUGGGAACUGCAUCCAUAACUGCCUGACUAGAGUACGGUAGAGGGUGGUGGAAUUUCCUGUGUAGCGGUGAAAUGCGUAGAUAUAGGAAGGAACACCAGUGGCGAAGGCGACCACCUGGACUGAUACUGACACUGAGGUGCGAAAGCGUGGGGAGCAAAC